RNAcentral lists this ribosomal RNA (850 nucleotides) under uncultured bacterium. RNAcentral describes it as "bacterial SSU rRNA". It matches the Rfam family "Bacterial small subunit ribosomal RNA", at positions 27 to 857 of the family's 1533-position model. The record is from RNAcentral.
GAAUCAACGCUGGCGGCGUGCCUAACACAUGCAAGUCGAACGCGACAGGGACUUCGGUCCUGAGUAGAGUGGCGAACGGGUGAGUAACGCGUGGGUGACCUACCCUCGAGUGGGGGAUAACGUUCCGAAAGGGACGCUAAUACCGCAUGACAUUCCGGGUUCGAAGACCUGGAAAUCAAAGCCGGGGACCGCAAGGCCUGGCGCUCGAGGAGGGGCCCGCGUCUGAUUAGCUAGUUGGCGGGGUAAUGGCCCACCAAGGCGACGAUCAGUAGCCGGCCUGAGAGGGCGGACGGCCACACUGGGACUGAGACACGGCCCAGACUCCUACGGGAGGCAGCAGUGGGGAAUUGUUCGCAAUGGGCGCAAGCCUGACGACGCAACGCCGCGUGGAGGAUGAAGGUCUUCGGAUUGUAAACUCCUGUUGAUCGGGACGAAAAGCUUCGACCUAACACGUCGGAGACUGACGGUACCGGUUGAGGAAGCCACGGCUAACUCUGUGCCAGCAGCCGCGGUAAUACAGAGGUGGCAAGCGUUGUUCGGAAUUACUGGGCGUAAAGGGCGCGUAGGCGGCCUUCUAAGUCGGACGUGAAAGCCCCAGGCUUAACCUGGGAACUGCGUCCGAUACUGGGAGGCUUGGAUUCGGGAGAGGGAUGUGGAAUUCCAGGUGUAGCGGUGAAAUGCGUAGAUAUCUGGAGGAACACCGGUGGCGAAGGCGGCAUCCUGGACCGAGAUCGACGCUGAGGCGCGAAAGCUAGGGGAGCAAACGGGAUUAGAUACCCCGGUAGUCCUAGCCCUAAACGAUGAGUGCUUGGUGUGGCGGGUAUCGAUCCCUGCCGUGCCGAAGCUAACG